UUCUUAUCAUGAGAGGCGGAGGGAAAUGGCCCAACGAAACCUCGGCAACAGGUUCUUAUUAGAAUACUGUGCCAAUUCCAUCAAGCAAAUUGCUUGAAAGAUAAGAG
Molecule: non-coding RNA, 107 nt
Filed under: Oceanobacillus iheyensis
Lineage: Bacteria; Bacillati; Bacillota; Bacilli; Caryophanales; Bacillaceae
Also listed under: 1 other name
Description: SAM-I sequence
Rfam family: SAM riboswitch aptamer (S box leader)
About the family: The SAM riboswitch is found upstream of a number of genes which code for proteins involved in methionine or cysteine biosynthesis in Gram-positive bacteria. The SAM riboswitch acts at the level of transcription termination control. The predicted structure consists of a complex stem-loop region followed by a single stem loop terminator region.
Source: RNAcentral